UACGGAGGGUGCAAGCGUUAUCCGGAUUCACUGGGUUUAAAGGGUGCGUAGGUGGCGCCGUAAGUCGGGUGUGAAAUUUCGGAGCUUAACUCCGAAACUGCAUUCGAUACUGCGGUGCUUGAGGACUGGAGAGGAGACUGGAAUUCAUGGUGUAGCAGUGAAAUGCGUAGAGAUCGUAAGGAAGACCAGUGGCGAAGGCGGGUCUCUGGACAGUUCCUGACGCUGAGGCACGAAGGUCAGGGGAGCAAACGGG
This 253-nucleotide ribosomal RNA is filed under the name uncultured bacterium. Its description in RNAcentral is "partial 16S ribosomal RNA". It matches the Rfam family "Bacterial small subunit ribosomal RNA", at positions 524 to 776 of the family's 1533-position model. The record is from RNAcentral.